This 1116-nucleotide ribosomal RNA is filed under the name Triticum aestivum (bread wheat). RNAcentral describes it as "partial small subunit ribosomal RNA". Lineage: Eukaryota; Viridiplantae; Streptophyta; Magnoliopsida; Poales; Poaceae. The record is from RNAcentral.
AUGUUGCCUGCUGUUCCUAUCAAGAAACUUACCUCACCAUAUGUAUUUAAUUUCUGGAAUCACUCCUUCCUAUCCUUGGUACGUAUAGAUAUGUACAAGCACACAUGGGCAACUUGGGCUAGACUCCUACACUCACCUCCACAGUCCAAUAUAAGUGUAUCUCAUCUGAAUGAUAAUUCUAUGUUGCAAGUUCAUGAUCCUUUGAUAUCCAUUCUAAUGUAUCAGAGAAAACUGCUGAACAAGAUGUUCUCUUCACGCCAUGUCUUAUCUCAGUUGCAAUAUUAUAGAUUUUUUUCAUCAAGGAAGCAGAGGAAGGCAAUGAAUCAAAUUGAAGAUUUGAAGGCAAGGAACAUAGCCAUUCUGUGUUUGGAUGAUGGUUUUGAAGAAGUCUUAUUAAGCUUCAAAAGUGUAAUAGCGCAAAUGCGCCAGAAUUCUUAUGAUUAUGGCAAGCGAGUUGAUCUCUCCAAGCGUUAUGGACCUGGCUGCAAGGUGUACACAGCAGGAGGAGCUGGGGCAUUCCAUGUGAUAAUUCAGCAUUGCAAAGCGUCAUUGCGCAUGUCUUUUUCAGCAAGAGACCUGUAUUCCAGAGCUUGGAGAAAUGAGUUGGGAACAUUUGUCAUGGCACCAUAUGUCACAGGGUGGUUAUACAUAACAAAUGAAGACCAUCAAACUCUUUCAUUCACAAGCAGUUAUACCUAUGGCGGUCUUGGUGGAGACGACGUCAAGGACACGUGGAUUGGCGUUGAUGCACUCCGUCACGCAUUUCAUGUGAUACGCAAGUCAGAUGGAAGGUGCACAGACCUUCUUAGACAAGCUAUCAAGAUUGUCAGCAUUCACUUGUCAGAAUCAGCCCACCUCCAGUCAGUUUUUGAAGCAGUUUGCAAGUCCAUGACUGAUGAUACAAGAACCACUUUGGAUGUUGAACCUGAGGCUGCAGCCGGUGCUGCUGAAGCCACCGGCUGCAGCCGGUGCGGCUGCAGCUGGUGCUGCUGCAGCCGGUGUUGCUGCAGCCGGUGCUGCUGCAGCUGGUGCGGCUCGGCCAAUAAGAACUCAUACCCCCUCGUUUUGGGUAGAGAAUUAUGGUUACUACUCCAAACAGGCGAUGAAAGCGGUUGA